RNAcentral lists this ribosomal RNA (601 nucleotides) under Micrococcus sp. Its description in RNAcentral is "bacterial SSU rRNA". It matches the Rfam family "Bacterial small subunit ribosomal RNA", at positions 56 to 671 of the family's 1533-position model. The record is from RNAcentral. Lineage: Bacteria; Bacillati; Actinomycetota; Actinomycetes; Micrococcales; Micrococcaceae.
UGCAGUCGAACGAUGAAGCCCAGCUUGCUGGGUGGAUUAGUGGCGAACGGGUGAGUAACACGUGAGUAACCUGCCCUUAACUCUGGGAUAAGCCUGGGAAACUGGGUCUAAUACCGGAUAGGAGCGCCCACCGCAUGGUGGGUGUUGGAAAGAUUUAUCGGUUUUGGAUGGACUCGCGGCCUAUCAGCUUGUUGGUGAGGUAAUGGCUCACCAAGGCGACGACGGGUAGCCGGCCUGAGAGGGUGACCGGCCACAUUGGGACUGAGACACGGCCCAGACUCCUACGGGAGGCAGCAGUGGGGAAUAUUGCACAAUGGGCGAAAGCCUGAUGCAGCGACGCCGCGUGAGGGAUGACGGCCUUCGGGUUGUAAACCUCUUUCAGUAGGGAAGAAGCGAAAGUGACGGUACCUACAGAAGAAGCACCGGCUAACUACGUGCCAGCAGCCGCGGUAAUACGUAGGGUGCGAGCGUUAUCCGGAAUUAUUGGGCGUAAAGAGCUCGUAGGCGGUUUGUCGCGUCUGUCGUGAAAGUCCGGGGCUUAACCCCGGAUCUGCGGUGGGUACGGGCAGACUAGAGUGCAGUAGGGGAGACUGGAAUUCCU